UACGGAGGAUGCAAGCGUUAUCCGGAUUUAUUGGGUUUAAAGGGUGCGCAGGCGGGAAAAUAAGUCAGUGGUGAAAUCCUGCAGCUUAACUGUAGAAUUGCCGUUGAUACUGUUUUUCUUGAGUGUGGUCAAGGAAGGCGGAAUGUGUAAUGUAGCGGUGAAAUGCUUAGAUAUUACACAGAACACCAAUUGCGAAGGCAGCUUUCUGGGCCGUAACUGACGCUCAUGCACGAAAGCGUGGGGAUCGAACAGG
This 253-nucleotide ribosomal RNA is filed under the name uncultured bacterium. Its description in RNAcentral is "partial 16S ribosomal RNA". It matches the Rfam family "Bacterial small subunit ribosomal RNA", at positions 524 to 776 of the family's 1533-position model. RNAcentral also lists the same sequence under 1 other name. The record is from RNAcentral.